AAUGUCCUAUCCGGGAUCAGGCCUUCCACCCUUGGCUUCCCGAUUCAAAUUCAGGUUUUUACCUCUGGGCUUGCAGCCGGCCCUAAUGAUUGCCACAGCACGGCUGGGCUAAGGGAGAGCUUGUUGCAAGUCUGGUGCUUGAUGCACCUCAUGGUCAGCCCGAAAUUGCUACUGAUCUGCGAGCGUGUCUUACCUGCUGCAGGAUACACAGCUCUUGAUUAUUUUAAACUGAAUUGCCCAUGCUUGUGGUACUGCAGCAGAGAACACAACAGCCCUGGGAUGAGGCAAAACCUCCAGCAUGGCAGCAGACAAUAAAUCUUUCCAGCUGAGAGCUUCCCAAGGACAGCACACACCAUGUGCUGAGCAUAAGGGAAAUGGACACCCACUGUAAAAGUAAUCCCCUGGCUUGUCCAA
Pezoporus occidentalis (night parrot) is the source of this 414-nucleotide long non-coding RNA. RefSeq lists it as uncharacterized. The transcript is spliced from 3 exons. The record is from RefSeq and is a predicted model, not a curated record. NCBI's taxonomy places the organism in Eukaryota, Metazoa, Chordata, Aves, Psittaciformes, Psittacidae.